GUUGUUUCCGUAAAGCACCGCGGUUUCUGUGGUGUCUCGUGCUCUCUGAACGGCCCUUGAAAAACCGAGGGAGGCUAUUAAUCUAUGCUGCAUCGUACCGAUAUCCGCAUCAGGUCCUCAAGGUGAACAGCCUCUAGUCGAUAGAAUAAUGUAGGUAAGGGAAGUCGGCAAAUUAGAUCCGUAACUUCGGGAAAAGGAUUGGCUCCUAGUGAUCGGGUCGGUUGGCCUGUUCACUGAUACUUGUAUGGUUUCGUUCGUGGCUGGCUGAUGCUAACGCUGAUGUCGGACUAGUGAUGAGACAGUCUUGUGGACGUUUAUAGGUGUGUGCUUUGCUUUCGAGCUUAGUAUCCUGACCGGCCAUUAAAACGGUCGAACUGGAACUGGUACGGACUCGGGGAAUCCGACUGUCUAAUUAAAACAGAGGAGACAGAUGGUCCUUGCGGACGUUUACUGUCUCUGAUUUCUGCCCAGUGCUCUGAAUGUUAAAUCGUAGUAAUUCGAGUAAGCGCGGGUAAACGGUCGGGAGUAACUAUGACUCUCUUAAGGUAGCCAAAUGCCUCGUCAUCUAAUUAGUGACGCGCAUGAAUGGAUUAACGAGAUUCCCACUGUCCCUAACUACUAUCUAGCGAAACCACAGCCAAGGGAACGGGCUUGGUAAAAAUAGCGGGGAAAGAAGACCCUGUUGAGCUUGACUCUAGUUUGACAUUGUGAAGAGUCAUGAGAGGUGUAGCAUAGGUGGGAGACUUAUGUCGCCAAUGAAAUACCACCACUUUCAUCGAUUCUUUACUUAUUCGGUAAUGUGAGGAUUGGGCCAUCGGCUCUUUCUUCUUUGUGUUAAGUAGAAGUCACCUGGUGACAUUACGACUCCCGUCGAAGACAAUGUCAGGCGGGAGUUUGACUGGGGCGGUACAUCUGUCAAAUCGUAACGCAGGUGUCCUAAGGCUAGCUCAGAGAGGACGGAAACCUCUCGUAGAGCAAAAGGGCAAAAGCUCGCUUGAUCUUGACUUUCAGUACGAGUACAGACCGCGAAAGCGUGGCCUAUCGAUCCUUUUAAUCCAGAUAGUUUCUGGUAAGAGGUGUCAGAAAAGUUACCACAGGGAUAACUGGCUUGUGGCAGCCAAGCGUCCAUAG
Molecule: non-coding RNA, 1131 nt
Organism: Heterorhabditis bacteriophora
Lineage: Eukaryota; Metazoa; Nematoda; Chromadorea; Rhabditida; Heterorhabditidae
Source: Rfam